GCCUUGGGCACUAUUGCUGACGGUCGAUUUUGGCAAAAAUCAAUGAAAAUAAGAAUCCCUUGUUUUUGUCAUUGUUUUUCUCUUUUCCCUCUACUACCUCCACGGCUAACAAUCAUCACCGAGGGCUUCAGCCUUCCUUUUGCAUUGAGCCAUGGCUAAUGCUGGGCCCCAGCCAUCGGCAAGUAGGCUGAGAUCCAAGGAUGACUAAGAAAAGGAUCUCAAUUUGGCCUUAUUUU
Molecule: long non-coding RNA, 236 nt
Filed under: Elaeis guineensis (African oil palm)
Lineage: Eukaryota; Viridiplantae; Streptophyta; Magnoliopsida; Arecales; Arecaceae
Description: long non-coding RNA (EGUI_LNC015109)
Source: RNAcentral